This 527-nucleotide long non-coding RNA is filed under the name Gossypium raimondii (Peruvian cotton). Its description in RNAcentral is "long non-coding RNA (GRAI_LNC002367)". The record is from RNAcentral. Lineage: Eukaryota; Viridiplantae; Streptophyta; Magnoliopsida; Malvales; Malvaceae.
GGCCGGCCACUGCUAGUCCCCUAAAUUCGCGUCUGCUAAUUAUGCCCUUACAUACAUAUACAAAGGUAGUGUAACCUCUCUAAAACAUUUAAAUUUUGAUAAAUUUUAUGUUAAUAUAUUAGUAAAAUUGCGUUUAGACCCUUGUAAUAGAAUUAUGCCAAAAUGGAGGAAGGGUGGCACAUCAUGACACCAACUGCUGAUGUAAAUUGGAGUCUGUACAAAAAUGAUUGCAUGAUCAAAGAUGUUUGGAAGAAACACGAUGAAGCCUCCCCGAAGUUGAUGAUGAAAUCAAAGGGUACACAUGAAAGUACACAUUCAACACUUGCAGAUGUAUUCAAAGCCGUACAUAUCUCUUUAAUUAUUACCCACCAUUUUAAAAAUUAAUAGAAAGAAAAGCAGUGUAAGAGAGUCCAUGGUAGUUGGGAAUAAUCCAAGUUUUUCAAAAGUCUAACCUCACAGUUGUUUUUACAUUAAUAUUUUUGUUGCAAUAUUAUUAGAAAAUGCUUUAUUGUUUGACUUUUCAAUUA